Molecule: RNA transcript, 802 nt
Organism: Rosa chinensis
Lineage: Eukaryota; Viridiplantae; Streptophyta; Magnoliopsida; Rosales; Rosaceae
Exons: 3
Source: RefSeq, a predicted model, not a curated record
UUUUGGCAGAUUGGAGAAUACCAAAAAGGAUUAAAGUCCCACCAAAACUCCUGAUUAUCAUCCCUGUUAGUUUCCUUGUUGCACCACCUAAUGACGCAUUAGAAGUUUCGAGAAUGCAGUGCCUAAUCCACCGCGCUCAUUUCCGGGCACAACCCAAUUCCAUGGACAACCCGAAUAGCCUUCAACUUCAGACCCCCCGAACGAAAACGCAAUUCCAAGGGCGAGAGAGAGAGAGAGCUCCGAUUAUCGAACCAUGCCUCCGACUCCGGCAAGGGCCAGUGGUGAGCUGACGGCAAAGCAGAAGGCAGCAGUGAACAUGAUCAUGACUGCUACAUUGCUUGUGAUUUGCGUGAGCCUCCGUCGAUUCGUGGUUCCACUUUCGAAAGGCAACUUUCUGCUCAGGGAAUUGGCUCUCUUCUGGUUCAUAAGCACAAUCAUGCUCAUUCCUAUCAAUCUCUUCACCUUUGUUGUCUUUGUCUAUCAUUUCCAUGGGGAAAACAUCAGGAGAACCAUUGCUUUCUUCCGUCUCUGGGGAGCUUUAUCAUUUAGUCUUCGGUAUUUAAUUUGAGGGUCUGCAGGGGUUCCAAUUUUGCUGGUAUCUUGUAGGAAAAGAUGGACCGGGAUAUCAGUUUGAUUAGUUUUAGAAAGAGAAUAGCAUGCCCAUCUAUGUUAAUAACUCCAGUACUACAAAGUCAGUAUCUAAGUCAUUACUUACAUUACGGAUGAUUUGAUCAGUAUCAUUAUAACUACUGAUAUAAUUGUUACAUAUUGCUGAUGUACCUAAUUAUCCACAUAUUGCUUA